AGCUUUGCACAGUGGCAGUAUCGUAGCCAAUGAGGUUUAUCCGAGGCAUGAUUAUUGCUAAUUAAAAUAUGAACACUAUAAUUGUGUUUCUCUCUGGGGUUGUGAGGAUGAAAUGAUAUAGUGCACGUAAUGUACCUACCACAAUGCCUGGACCAUAGUAAGUGUUCAGUGUAUGACAGCCUUUAUAAUGG
This is a small nuclear RNA of Heterocephalus glaber (naked mole-rat), 191 nucleotides long. Its record names the gene U4. It matches the Rfam family "U4 spliceosomal RNA". Rfam says of the family: U4 small nuclear RNA (U4 snRNA) is a component of the major U2-dependent spliceosome. The structure of U4 snRNA from yeast and human has been reported. The record is from Ensembl. Lineage: Eukaryota; Metazoa; Chordata; Mammalia; Rodentia; Bathyergidae.